UGCNGUCGANCGGACCUUGUAGAAUUGAUCCUUCGGGUGAUUUUCUACGCUGGUUAGUGGCGAACGGGUGAGUAAUGCAUAGGUUACCUACCCCUAAGUCUGGGAUAACCACUCGAAAGGGUGGCUAAUACCGGAUAUUCAAGUUUACUUGGAAAGCUCCGGCGCUUAGGGAAGGGCUUAUGUCUGAUUAGCUAGUUGGUAGUGUAACGGACUACCAAGGCGAAGAUCAGUAGCUGGUCUGAGAGGACGAACAGCCACACUGGGACUGAGACACGGCCCAGACUCCUACGGGAGGCAGCAGUGGGGAAUAUUGCGCAAUGGGCGAAAGCCUGACGCAGCGACGCCGCGUGAACGACGACGUCUUUCGGGAUGUAAAGUUCCGUCAAGAGAGAUGAUUAUGACGGUAUCUCUAAAGGAAGCCCCGGCUAACUACGUGCCAGCAGCCGCGGUAAUACGUAGGGGGCAAGCGUUAACCGGAUUUAUUGGGCAUAAAGGGCGCGCAGGCGGCUUUAUAAGUCAGAAGUUAAAUUCCUUGGCCUAACCAAGGCUCGCUUCUGAAACUGUAAGGCUAGAGAUCAGGAGAGGAAAGCGGAACUCACAGUGUAGCGGUGAAAUGCGUAGAUAUUGUGAGGAACACCAGUUGCGAAGGCGGCUUUCUGGACUGAAUCUGACGCUGAGGCGCGAAAGCGUGGNGAGCGAACGGGAUUAGAUACCCCGGUAGUCCACGCUGUAAACGGUGUACACUAGGUGUAGAGGGUAUCGACCCCUUCUGUGCCACAGAUAAUUCGUUAAGUGUACCGCCUGGGAAGUACGGNCGCAAGGCUAAAACUCAAAGAAAUUGACGGGGNNCCGCACAAGCAGUNNAUCAUG
RNAcentral lists this ribosomal RNA (870 nucleotides) under uncultured bacterium. RNAcentral describes it as "bacterial SSU rRNA". It matches the Rfam family "Bacterial small subunit ribosomal RNA", at positions 56 to 941 of the family's 1533-position model. The record is from RNAcentral.